GACUGUCUAGGGUGCCAAACAACAGAAAGGGAGAGAAACAGACAGACAGAGCCAUCCGGUAAAGCCAGGAGUUCUGCUCCGUCCAGCCUGCAAGCAUCUUACAUAAAAAUGUCAUCCGUAAGAAGUCAUGGAAGAAGCAGCAAGCAAAAUCGAUGCCUAUGACAUCACGUUGAAGAGAAACAGCCUAACUCUUGCCAUGGGGGUUUUAGAGAUUAGUAGAUGUUUGUCAUAAUUUUUUUUAAGCAUGAAAUCUCAUGUUUCUUCCCAGUCUGCCUUCUCCCACUCCAUGGCAACCAGCGCCAUGGAGCUCCACUGGUUCUUCCUUUGUGGUGGCGCUGUCUCUGCAGCUAUCAAGGUGUUACUUCUUGAUCCGUCAAUGCUGAAUGAGGAGACAUCCUGAGUACAACGGACAUGUCUCAAGCUAAAGGCCUUAAUGGAAGGACUGUUUCACACCCUUCCUAUGGAUCUUCCUGCUUGCUCAUGAGAAAGACAUCGCGGCUCCUGUGAACACCUCACUGCAAGUCCAGGAUCCAAUCAUAUGAGACCAGCCAGCCUCCUACUCCUGCCACUGUGUUUCCCCUGCUUGCUGCUGUGUCUUCCUCAUCACGAUGGACUGCAUCCCUCUGUCACCGUAAGCCAAAUAGACUUUGUCCUCUAUGAUGCUGCUUUUUCGUGGUAUUUUAUCUGGGCAAGAAGAAAGUAGCUAAGAUAGCUGUCUUUAAGAAUGUUUUGUUGUAUUAAGACACGACCUCCUCAUAAGGUAUAGACUGGAUA
Rattus rattus (black rat) is the source of this 774-nucleotide long non-coding RNA. RefSeq lists it as uncharacterized. The record is from RefSeq and is a predicted model, not a curated record. The transcript is spliced from 3 exons. NCBI's taxonomy places the organism in Eukaryota, Metazoa, Chordata, Mammalia, Rodentia, Muridae.